AUCUAUCUUGUGACCUUUCAGCUGUUCAGCAGUAAAACAGAAACUUAGAGAACUUACAAAAUAUGCAGAGGGUAGAUAUGGUUAAUAUUUCACAGAGAAGUAGUUAGUAUUCUUUCUUAACUCGUACUUUGGAAGGGGGCUAUUUGAGGCCUAUUCCAUCCUAACUCUAACAACAAUUUUUAAGCAAGCUUUAAUUUUCUUUUAAUUUUCUACUUCACAUUCCUUUUCUUUUCUCUAACCUUGUCUUCAUGUUUUAUUUCAGUAAGCUCUUCUUCAACCUCUAAUAUCCUUUCUUCCACCUGAUUAAUCUGGAUAUUGAUACUUGUGUAUGCUUCACAAAGGUUUUAGCACUGUUUUUCAGCUCCUUCAGGUCAUUUAUAUUCUUCUCUAAACUGGGUAUUCUAGUUAGCAAUUUCUGUCACCUUUUAUAAAGGUUCUUAGCUUUCUUGCAUUGGGUUAGCACAUGUUCCUUUAAUUCAGAGGAGUUUUUUAUUACCCACCUUCUGAAGUCUACUUCUAUCAACUCAUGAAACUCAUUCCCCAUCCAGUUUUCUGCCCUUGCUGGAGAGGAAUUUCAAUCAUUUGGAGAAGAUGAGGUCUGCUGCAGUUUGCGGGAGGUCCACUCCAGACCCUGUUUGCCUGGGUGUCACCAGUGGAGGCUGCAGAACAGAAAGGAUUGCCACCUGCUCCUUCCUCUGGAAGCUUCAUCCCAGAGGGACACUGGCCUGAUGCCAGCCACAGCUCUCCUGUACAAGGUGUCUGUCUACUCCUGUUUGGUGGUAUCUCCCAGUUAGGAGUCAUGGGUGUCAGGGACCUACUUGAGCAGGUAGUCUGUCCCUUAGCAGAGCUGGAGCACUGUGCUGGGAGAAUCCUUCUUGACAGAUGCUGCUCUCUUCAGAGAUGGCAGGCAAGAAUAUUUAAGUAUGCUGUUGCUGGGCACAUAGCCAGCCCUUUCCCCAUGUGCUCUUUUUCCACGGAGAUGGGAGUUUGUCUAUAAUCCCUUGAAUGGGGCUACUGCCUUUCUUUCAGAGAUGCCCUCCCUAGUGAGGAGGAAUCUAGAGAGUCAGUCUGGCCACAGCCGCUUUGACAUGCUUUGGUGAAUUCUGCCCAGUAUGAACUUCCUAGCCUCCUUAGCACUGUCAGGGGAAAACUGUCUACUCCAUCCUCAGUAAUGGUGGAUGCCUCUUCCCCAACCAAGCCUGAUCAUCCCAGGUUGACUUCAUGCUGCUCUGUUGGCAGCAAGAAUUUCAAGCCAGUGGUUCUUAGGGUGCUGACUCCAUGGGAGUGGGACCCACUGAGCAAGACCACUUGGCUCUCUGGCUUUAGCCCUCUUUCCAGGGGAGUAAAUGGUUCUCUCACUGGGGUUCCAGGUUCCACUGGGAAAAACAAACAGACAGACAAACAAACAGCAACAACAAAAACAAAAAAGCUGAAGCUAGCUUGGUGUCUACAGCCACCCAGUUUUAUGCUUGAAACCGAGGGCCCUGGUGGUGUAAGCACACAAGGGAAUUUUCUGCUCUCUAGAUUGAAGAUCCCAUGGGAAAACUGUAGUAUCUGGGCCAGGUAGCACAGUGUUUCAUGGCUUCCUUGGUAGGGCAGAGAUUGGUUCCUGGCUUCUUGUACUUCUCUGGUGAGAUAAUGCCCUCUCUUGCUUUCUGCUCACUGUCCAUAGGCUUCGCCCACUGCCUAAACAUUCCCAAUGAGAUUAACUGGGUACCUCCUUUGUAAAUGUAGAGAUUAUCCAUUCACUUUCUGCAUUGGUCUCAAUGGAAGCAGCAAACUGGAGCUGUUCCUAUGUGGCCAUCUUGUCAGAUCUCCCUGUAAUUCUUGUCUUAUUAAAUUGUCUUAACAGAAUUAUCCACUGACAAUGUCAAUGUAUCAGAAAUAUAUGAGUUUAUUUAUUUGUUAAUUUUUCAUUCAACUACAUAUUUCUUUGUGUACACACUUUGAGUAGUUCUUCAUUUAAAUAAUUGUAGUUAUUUAGUAAUACUUAGUAAUAUUAGCAGUAAAGAAAUAUGAACAAGAGUUUCUUUUCUUCUCAACAAUUUUGGCUAACCAGACAUCAAUAUAAAUUUUAUAAGAUAAUUUUUUAGUUCUGCAAUGGAGAAACAAAUUAGAGAUUGACAGAUUUAUAUAAAAUUUAAAAUAAAAAUUUUCAAUUCUGCACAGAAAAGUACAGCAAUAUGCUAGAAAAAUAUUAAGUUUGCAAAUAAAUUUGAAAAAAGAUUUGCACUUUAAACAUGUUAAAUCUUAGAAUUUGGGAUCCAAAUACAUUGUUCUACAUUUAGUUCUUUUUUAUACUUCAUAUAAUAUUUUGUACUUUUAGUAUACAAUUAUCACAACAUGUAUACAUUUUUAAUAUUGAUUUUAUUAUUUUUGUGUUAUUCUAAAUAAAAUUAUCUCUAUAGUUUUGUUUCCAUAUUGUAGAUUACUAGAGUUUAGAAACAUUUCAUUUAGGUGUUGAUUUUUAAUACUUGUAUCUAUGCAUUAAAAUAUGCAAAAUUUAUAUGAACGUAAUUUAUAUUACUUUUUACAUUUUUUUCUAAUGACUUAGGCUAGAAGUUCCAAGGCAAAGUUAAGUGAAAGUAAAAAAAACAACGCAUCCUCAUUCCACAUCUUAUUUAAAAGUAAGCUUCCACUUAGCACUACUGAAGAAAAGAAUACCUGUGAAUUAUAGUGCUCUCUAUGAGAGAGGAAAUUUUCCUUUCAUUUCUAGUUUAUUUACUUUUAAUAAUAAAUGUUAUAUUUUUUGAAAAUGUUUGUUGUAUAAGCUAUGAUUAUACUGUUCCUUAUUAUAUUCUUAUUCUGCAUUGCAUUUAUUGGUUUUAUAACUAAUUUGUUAUAAAUUAUUUAGGUACGUGACUCUUUUGGAAGGUAUGUAAGCCUUGAGGUGUUGAUGGAUUUUAAUUGUUAAGCAUCCAAUGUGAUUCUUUAUUGACAAAAUGUAUCUGGGUAUGCAUUUAUUAACUCUGCAUUUUAUAUGUUAUUUAUUUAUUUAAUUUUUGCUAAGUUCAGAGAAUAGAGUAUACAUGCAGGUGUGUUACAUGGGUAUGUUGUGUACUAUUGAGUUUUGGCCUUUAGUGUGCCCAUCACUCAAUUACUAAAUGUUGUUUUGAAUACUUUUUAACUCCCACUUUCCUUCUGUACUCUCCUUUUUUGAUGUCUCUAGUGUUUAUUAUAUCCCUCUAUAUGGCCAUGUGUACUCAUCGUUCACCUUCCACUUACAUGUAAAAACAUAUGAAUGUUGCAUAUGCUGAGAAGAAUGUGUAUUCUACAGAUGCUGGAGGAAAUGUUCUGCAAAUAUCUAUUACAUUUAUUUGCCCUAUUGUAUAAAGUAAUGAUUGUGAUUCUUUUUAAAUUUUUAUUCUAGAUUAUCUGCCUUCUAGAUAAUGAAAUUGUAAAAGUCUGUUUUGUGAUAAAAAUGUCUUGAAGCCUUCAGCUGAUCUUUAGGAUUUUACUCUAUUGUUUAAAAUGUAUAAAUUUAAGUGUACAAUGCAAUUUUAUUACAUGAUCAUAUUGUGUAGUGAUAAAGUCAUGGUUUUAGUGUAUUAAUCAUCUGAAUAAUGUACAUUGUACUCAUUAAGUAUGUCUCAUCAACCAAGCUCUUUCCAUCCUUCCACAUUUCUGACUCUCCAAUGUGUAUCAUUCUAUACUUUAUGCCCAUGCUUACAAUAUUGUGAAUAUACAGUAUUUGACUUUAUGUUUCCAAGUUUGUUUGUUUUAGAUCAUGGCCUCCAGUUUUAUACAUGUCAAUAGAGAGGACAUGACUUUAUUCUUUUCUAUAAUGAAAUUGUAUUUUAUUAUGUUUAUGUAGCAUAUUUGUUUAAUCUAAUUAUAUGGUGAUAAUCAGUUUAGGUAAUUCUAUUGUUUUACUACUGUGAAUAAUGCUGCAAUACUUAUAUGAUAUGUAUUUUAUAUAAUGAUUUUAAUAUCUUUGAUAGAUACCCAGUAGUGGGAUUGCUGGAACAAGUGGUACUUACAGUUUUAGUUCUUUGAUAAAUAACCAUUCUGUUUUUCAUAGAGCUUAUACUAAUCUAUAUUCCCACCAACAGUAUUAAGCAUUCUUUCUUAGCAUCCUCAUCAUCUGUUUUUCUUUUUAUGUAAUAGCCAUUUUGAGUGGUGUAAUAUGAUAUCUAUCUUACGGUGGUUUUAGUUUGCAUUUCUUUGAUCAUUAGUGAUGUUGAACAUUGGCUUAUAUGCAUGCUGGCCUUUGGAUGUCUUCUUUUGAUAAAUGACUAUUCAUAUUAUUAAUAGCUUUUAUUAUCCUUUCAAAACUUAAAUUUUGGUUUUCACAAACACAUGAAGGUUUCUUACACAGUUAAACUCAGGUCAUAGGGAUGAGUUGUAAAGAUUAUUUCAUCACCUGGAAAUUAAGCCCAAUACCCAAUAGUUAUCUUUUCUGCUUGUCUCCCUUUUUCUUCCCACCAUCCUCAAGUAGACCCCACUGUCUGUUAUUUCCUUCUUUGUUUUAACAAGUAUUACUUAGCCCUAACCUUUGAUGAAAACUAUUGGUUUUCUCUUCCAGCAUUAGCUUACUCAGAUUAAUACCCUCCAUCUCCAUCCAUGUGCCUGCAAAAAAAAAACAUAAUCUUGCUUUUUUAUAUGUAUAUUGGCAUAGUAUUCCAUGGUAUAUAUAUGCCAUAUUGCUUUAUUCUAUCAUUAAUGAACAUUUAUAUUAAUAUCAUGUCUUUGCUAUUGUAAAUACUGCUGCUAUGAAUAUUCAUGUGUAUGUCUCUGUGUGGUAGGAUGAUUUAUGUAUCAUCCUUUGGUACACACUUAGUCAUAAAAUUGCUUAGCCAAAUGGUAGUUCUGCUUUUAGCCUUUUGCAGAAUCACAAUACUGCUUUCCACAAUGCUUGAACUAAUUUAUGCACCCACAAACAGUGUAUAUAUGUUUCCCUUUCUCUGCAGUCUUGCCAGCAUCUGUUACUAUUUCACUUUUUAGUAAUAGCUUUUCUGACAGCUGUGAGAUUGUAUCUUAUUGUGGUUUUGAUUUGCAUUUAUCUAAUCAUCACUGAUAUUGAGCUUUUUUUAUACAUGAUUAUUGGCAGCAUGUAUGUCUUCUUUUAAAAAAAAUCUGUUCAUGUCCUUUUCCCAUUUUUAAUGGGGUUUUCUAUUGGAAUUGUGUUAAAGUUCUUUAUAGAUGUUGGGUAUUAGACUUUUUCAGAUGCAUAGUUUGCAAAAUUUUUCAGAUUUUUGUCAGAUGCACAGGUUGCAAAAUUUUCUCCCAUUCUGUAGGUUGUCUGUGUACUCUGUUGAUAGUUUCUUUUGCUGUACAAAGUAACAUUUUAAUGGUUUUAUUUGUUUUUCCUGUUGCUUGAGUUUAUUAUAUAUUCUAGAUAUCAGUGUAUUUCUUUUGUUUCUACCCUGACCUUUGUAAUUUAUAAUUUUCUACACAUUGUGAGUAGUUUCAUUUUGUUUUCCUAAAACUCUGAGUUGUCUUAUUUGACUUUUUAGAGCUUUUUACUUUUAAGUGUUGGAAUUUGUUGCUAUCAACUUUUCUAUUUUAGCGAUAUUUGAUUUUUCUUUUUAAUUUUAUAUAUUGUGUUUACUUUUUUAUUUGUCUCAACAUUUAAACAUUUUUAUUUUUACUUUUUUUGGUUCAUUGAUUUUUCAGGAGCAUGCUAUUUAAUUUUUACAUAUCUGUAAAUUUC
Molecule: long non-coding RNA, 5653 nt
Filed under: Homo sapiens (human)
Lineage: Eukaryota; Metazoa; Chordata; Mammalia; Primates; Hominidae
Description: HSALNT0409558
Source: RNAcentral